This 291-nucleotide long non-coding RNA is filed under the name Gorilla gorilla (western gorilla). Its description in RNAcentral is "long non-coding RNA NONGGOT012505". The record is from RNAcentral. Lineage: Eukaryota; Metazoa; Chordata; Mammalia; Primates; Hominidae.
CUCAAAGCACAAGAGUAGUGAUGCUGGCAAUUUGGAUAUACCAAAGAGAAGCUGUAAAAUGCUUCCUUUCAGUGAAAAAGUGAAAGUUCUCCAUUUAAUAAGUGUCUCCUAAGAACAUUUGUUUCCCGAACCACAGAAACCAUUAUUCACUCAUUAACCAUUGGGAUUUUUGUUCAAAGGCCCAUGAAUUAUUGCUACUUUAAAUUUGCAAGCAAAUUUAUAAUUGGAUCCUGAUGUCCCAGCACCCAUAAAUAUUUUAUAAUAAUUGUACAAACAACAUUUACAUUAAGG